CGGGGGCUUACAUGCAGUCGAACGAUGAACCUGCUUCGGCGGGGGAUUAGUGGCGAACGGGUGAGUACACGUGGGCAAUCUGCCCUGCACUCUGGGACAAGCCCUGGAAACGGGGUCUAAUACCGGAUACGACCACUUCAGGCAUCUGAUGGUGGUGGAAAGCUCCGGCGGUGCAGGAUGAGCCCGCGGCCUAUCAGCUUGUUGGUGAGGUAACGGCUCACCAAGGCGACGACGGGUAGCCGGCCUGAGAGGGCGACCGGCCACACUGGGACUGAGACACGGCCCAACUCCUACGGGAGGCAGCAGUGGGGAAUAUUGCACAAUGGGCGAAAGCCUGAUGCAGCGACGCCGCGUGAGGGAUGACGGCCUUCGGGUUGUAAACCUUUUCAGCAGGGAAAAGCGAAAGUGACGGUACCUGCAAAAAGCGCCGGCUAACUACGUGCCAGCAGCCGCGGUAAUACGUAGGGCGCAAGCGUUGUCCGGAAUUAUUGGGCGUAAAGAGCUCGUAGGCGGCCUGUCGCGUCGGUUGUGAAAGCCCGGGGCUUAACCCCGGGUCUGCAGUCGAUACGGGCAGGCUAGAGUUCGGUAGGGGAGAUCGGAAUUCCUGGUGUAGCGGUGAAAUGCGCGAUAUCAGGAGGAACACCGGUGGCGAAGGCGGAUCUCUGGGCCGAUACUGACGCUGAGGAGCGAAAGCGUGGGGAGCGAACAGGAUUAGAUACCCUGGUAGUCCACGCCGUAAACGUUGGGCACUAGGUGUGGGCGACAUUCCACGUCGUCCGUGCCGCAGCUAACGCAUUAAGUGCCCCGCCUGGGGAGUACGGGCCGCAAGGCUAAAACUCAAAGGAAUUGACGGGGGCCCGCACAAGCGGCGGAGCAUGUGCUAUUCGACGCACGCGAGAAUCUUACCAAGGCUGACUCA
Molecule: ribosomal RNA, 919 nt
Filed under: Streptomyces sp. NIOT-BARREN 37
Lineage: Bacteria; Bacillati; Actinomycetota; Actinomycetes; Kitasatosporales; Streptomycetaceae
Description: bacterial SSU rRNA
Rfam family: Bacterial small subunit ribosomal RNA
Source: RNAcentral